UACGGAGGCCCCAAGCGUUGUUCGGAUUUAUUGGGCGUAAAGGGUGCGUAGGCGGCGUGGUAAGUCUGGUGUGAAAGGCGUAGGCUCAACCUGCGGACUGCAUUGGAUACUGCCAUGCUAGAGGACUGGAGAGGAGAAUGGAAUUCACGGUGGAGCAGUGAAAUGCGUAGAUAUCGUGAGGAAGGCCAGUGGCGAAGGCGAUUCUCUGGACAGUAACUGACGCUGAGGCACGAAGGCUGGGGGAGCGAACAGG
RNAcentral lists this ribosomal RNA (253 nucleotides) under uncultured bacterium. Its description in RNAcentral is "partial 16S ribosomal RNA". It matches the Rfam family "Bacterial small subunit ribosomal RNA", at positions 524 to 776 of the family's 1533-position model. The record is from RNAcentral.